UUUAUAUUUAUUUGUGUAUUAUGAUUAUUAUAAUUUCAGAUGUGAAUUCUUGCGGUCAUAAUUGUUGGUCGACCACACAAAAAAGAGAAUUAUGUGACAGCCUUUAUGGUGUAAAUUGUUGGCCCGGACAUUUCAAACUCAAUUACUUUUCUCCUAACUGCUAUUGUUGCAAUGAAGAACAAAUUAACGAUGACGAUGAGCAAGUCGGUUGGGAAAAUGAUCGCUAUACAUUUUACAGAAAAUACCUUAAAGACUAUCCAUACUUAUUGGACAGACGUGUUUCACCUGAUGAACAUGGUCAAUGAUUAUUAAACUGUUUAAGAUAUAACACUAC
Cinara cedri is the source of this 334-nucleotide non-coding RNA. The record is from the annotation of a GenBank genome assembly. Lineage: Eukaryota; Metazoa; Arthropoda; Insecta; Hemiptera; Aphididae.